CUGAGAGAUCAUCUAGUUCAGUAGUUCUCCAAGUGUAUUCCUGGGCCGGAAGCACUGGCCACACCUGGGAACUUGUUAGAAAUGCAUAUUCUCAGGCCUACUGAAUCAGAAGCUCUGGGGUUAGGGCCCAGCAAACUGUGUUUUAACAAACCCUCCAGGUGGUUCUGAUGGAGGCUGAACUUGAGAACCACUGAUCUAGUUCAAGCAUUUCAUUUUACAAAUGAGGAAACUGGGGCCUGGAAAGAGUCUAUGCUUCUGGUCACAGCAGGGACUGUGCCUGUUUCACUCAUUGUGCAUCCCCCAACACACAGGGCCUGGCUUGUGGUAAGCACUCAGUAAAUCUUUGCUGAAUAGAUGAAUAAGGGAAUGAAUAAGCCAGAACUAGAAACAACAUCUCUGAGUCCUAACUCACUCCACCAGAGCUUUCUCUUGCCCCAGGGAAGGAUGGAGGCAUGGGGGAAGAACUGCUUCUUGGUUCUUGCUUUGUGAGAGGCUUGAAGCAUUGUAUCUGUGGCCUGUCCUGUAGGAGGAUGGCAGCUCUACCGCCAAGGUCUUGCUCCCCAGCCACGGGCCAGUCUUGUUCACUGUCCCUGCACCAGUAGUUUGACCAAGCCCAUGCCCCACUAGGAAUUGUGUCUGUUGCUUUCAUAGAUCCUGUCACUGUCUGAGGCAUAAUCAGGCCCCCUGCCUAGGUCUUAGAUUCCCUGACCAAUAAGCUCAGCUCAGAGAGUGAAUGGGGAGAAUUAAAGUGAGAUCCAAUUCAUGAAAAAAGAGAUUUCUAAGGCAAGGGUCCUAGGAAGGUGGGUCUUCAGGUUCAGUUACUGGGUCCUGUGAAGCCAAGGAGGAGGGGGUGGGGAGAGGGAGGGAGAGAGGGAGAGGAAGAGAGGAGAGAGAGACAGAGAGAGAGAGAGAGAGAAAGAGAGAGAGAGAGUCGGUCCUCAAAGUUUUUAGUUGCAGACAUGUAGAGCCAUGUUGCCUGGAUCUGGGUGGCGUACCCCUGGCUGCCUUGGUCCCCCAGCCCUGGCCUGCUGACCCUCUCUGAAAUGAGAAGAAGGGGAAGGCAAACAGGAUUCAAGAGUUUUUAAACAAAAAAGGAGAUCUCCCAGGGCAUGAGUGACAGGCUUCUGAGAAGGUUCCUGGGUCCCUGAUCCUGUUACAUUCUAUGAACUAACUACGCAACUGAAAGUAUCAAUCCACAUGGAUCCAACCACUCAAGGAGCUUAUGUUCUUCGAACCUCAAGUUCAAAUGGCUCUCACGCCAUACUGCUACCCAAGUGCCUUAUCUUUGAUUGUCUACAUGCCUAUAGUCCCCACAGAAGAGCAGAGUGAUCUUUCCAAUGUUGAUAGAAAACUCUUUGGAUACUCAAUGCCUUCAUAGUUAUUGCCACACUUCCCUGAGACCUAUCCUUAGGAAAGAACUUGAUAAACUCAUUCACUUACAGGUGGUAGCAACCAGUAAGAGCUGCCUUUUCCAUCCCCAUGGAAGAUUUAAGCUGAUGAUUUCAUACCUUAGUGCUAGCUAUUAAUUCCUAACUUGUGGUUGACUAACCCACAACUUCUUCUCUGGGCCCUGCAUAUUUUGUAUUUUUUCAUGCUCUUUGGGGCUCCCAGUAGAGGGAUAAAGAGAUUCCUAGUUGCAGACAGAUUCUUAACUUUAUGUGUUCUUGAGUUAAAGAGCUCUAUUGUAAAGGGUAACUUUACUAACAGAUAAUUAUUGGGCACCUACUGGGGCAAGGCAAUGUUCUAGAUGCUGACAGUGAAAAAAGACAGAUGAGGUUCCUGCAUCCAUGGGUUUACAUUCUAGAUCAAGGAAAUGGAAAAUAAACAAGUUAACAAAUAAGUGAGGAACAUAACUUCCAAAGGCAAGAAGUGCUGUGAAAACAAUAAAGCGGGAUGAAGUAGAGUGACUUUAGGAGCCAAGUUAGAUGUGUUCCUCGGGGAAAGCCUCUCUAAGGAGGUGCCAUUUGAGCUAACUGAACAGGAAGGAGCCAGGUCUGGAAUGUGAGGGAAGAGCAUUCCGUCCGAGAGAAGGGCCUGGGUAAAGGUCUGUAGUCGGGGGUGAACUUAGUGUGUUCAGAAACAGAGGCCUGUGUGGCUAGAUGUGCAUGUCCUUGAGAAGAGCAAUCUUAGGGGAGGGUUGGGGGCAGGUGGCAGACUAUGACAACAUCCUUAGUUCUUUGCAAUUGUUUUAUGAUGAAGGGAAGCAGGUAAAUGGGCUGGAAACUGGAGGAGGUAAUCAAGUUCAAGGGAGGAAUCUGUUGUGGUGAUCUGGUUUGUGUGUCUGUGUGUGUGCUUUGUUUUUUGUUUUUGAGACAGAGUUUUGCUCUUAUUGCCCAGGCUGGAGUGCAAAGGCACGAUCUCAGCUCACCACAAUUACCGCCUCCCAGGUUCAAGUGAUUCUUCCGCCU
Molecule: long non-coding RNA, 2408 nt
Filed under: Homo sapiens (human)
Lineage: Eukaryota; Metazoa; Chordata; Mammalia; Primates; Hominidae
Description: HSALNT0030970
Source: RNAcentral